Long non-coding RNA from Oryctolagus cuniculus (rabbit), 621 nucleotides. RefSeq lists it as uncharacterized. The record is from RefSeq and is a predicted model, not a curated record. NCBI's taxonomy places the organism in Eukaryota, Metazoa, Chordata, Mammalia, Lagomorpha, Leporidae.
GUAGUUGGGUUGCAGCGCACUAGAGGGCAGUCCGAAGAGGUGAAAGGUCACGUUAUGUAAGCGCCGGUGACAGGCGUACGGGCCGUCCGCGGCAGAGCGAAAAGUGGGGGGCAGCAGGGGACCGAAAGGCCGAGAGCCCAGAGAGCUUCCUGAUCUACACGGCCACACUGCUGGGUGUCCCAGAGUAAAGUGUGCCGGUGUCUGCUCCAUACCUGCUUUCCCUCUGUCUUCAAGGAGAUCCUGUUCCCACUAAAAGGUGCAAAUGCAAAGCUUUCGUGUGAUGUGCAUUCUAUGACAAUUUCAAAAGUGAAAAACAGACAACACGGAUUCCUCCCUGCUGCCUGGGGCUGCGGAAGACACACAGGGACAGCACUGGCCACACGACAAUGUCAAGGCAAUCUUGGCAGCGCACUCCUGUCUAAGGGCCCAGCCCCCAGCACCCCCAGCCCUGCCUGCCCCCUUCCACAAUGAGGCACUCAGAGACCAACAAGACUAUUUCAAAUAGUUUAAUUUUAAAAAUAUUCUAUUCAGUGCUAAAAUAUGUCUUCACUCACUGUCGCUCAUUUCCAUUUUCUUAAACUUUUUUUGAAACAAAAAAUAAAAUCACAAAGUUCAAUUAAA